CAGUUUCUCAGAGGUGGUGGUUCAAAUAUUUAAUUUGGCUGCUAACAAGGAUCUAGACAACAAUUAUUUCAAUGCUUUAACUAGGUUUUCAGGUUCAGUUCAAGAAGGAGAUUAUGAAUCGCAGAUAGCGGGGCUGAUGCCCAGAAAAGAGAGAUGCAUGCUGCCAUGUGAAAUGGACAAAGCUCCGGCUUCCUGCCGACUGUGGAAAGAUUCGUCAGAGCACUAUAGCAGGUACCAGUUGACUCUCCAGAAUGGAUCUGGGGCUAUUUGCUGUUGACUUGGGCUGUCCGCCUGAAAUGACUUCACCCAAAGCUAAGGAGGAUCCCAGGCUUACUGGUGGCUGCCUGCACUCUGGAGUACACGAGAACCAGCCUCUGCAAAGCAUGGUGUAUAUAGGAUUUGGAGAAGGGUGGAAAAACAAGGGCUUAAUUCUACCACCUGUACUCCUGUGGACUAAUGGCUUAUGUCAUAACUUGUUCCAUCAGUCCAUCG
Long non-coding RNA from Mauremys reevesii (Reeves's turtle), 492 nucleotides. RefSeq lists it as uncharacterized. The record is from RefSeq and is a predicted model, not a curated record. The transcript is spliced from 4 exons. NCBI's taxonomy places the organism in Eukaryota, Metazoa, Chordata, Testudines, Geoemydidae.